AUCAAUAAGCGGAGGAGAAGAAACUAACCAGGAUUCCCCCAGUAACGGCGAGCGAAGCGGGAACAGCUCGAGCAGGCAAUCUCUGGUGUUGAUCGCCAGCGAAUUGUGGCCGGUAGAGGCGGGUGCACCUGACGCGACUUCGCCGAAGUUGACCUGGAAAGGCACGUCGGAGAGGGUGAUAGCCCCGUGCGCGGCGAAGUCGCCGACGGACGCUACCGUCUUCUGAGAGUCGGGUUGUUUGGGAGUGCAGCCCAAAGUGGGUGGUAAACUCCAUCUAAAGCCAAAUAGCGGCACGAGACCGAUAGCGAACAAGUACCAUGAGGGAAAGGUGAAAAGCACUUUGGAAAGAGAGUUAAAGAGGCCGCGAAACCGUUGGGAGGGAAACGCAUGCAGCCGAACCGGCCCGCGUCGAGUUCACGGGGCUGCCGCGAGUCGUGUCCGUCGUCGGCACCGAAAGGGUCGGCGUUGGGCUCUGGCUUUCGGCUCCCCUGCACUCUCGGUGCUUCGGGCCGGCCAAGCGCGGCGGGAUCCGGGCGACGAGCUCGGUCGGGCAGGUAACGCAGCCGCCUGGCGGAGGCGAACUUAUAGCCGGCCUAGCGGAGCGUCCGGGACCCGCCGAGGAGAGUGGUGGCAUUUCCACCCAAGCAGCGCAGGCCGCUCGUCGGCAGGGGCUCUCUGGCUCGUUGGCGAGCCGCUCCGAACCACUGCGUGCAGUGGCCGGGGACGGUCCGUCUCCGUGUCGGGGGUAGCUCACUCCUUGCGCUCGGGCCGCUUGGCCAGACGUCGGCUGCAUCCGA
Molecule: ribosomal RNA, 797 nt
Filed under: Geodia fibrosa
Lineage: Eukaryota; Metazoa; Porifera; Demospongiae; Tetractinellida; Geodiidae
Description: partial 28S large subunit ribosomal RNA
Rfam family: Eukaryotic large subunit ribosomal RNA
Source: RNAcentral